GACGAACGCUGGCGGCGUGCUUAACACAUGCAAGUCGAACGGAAAGGCCCUGCUUUUGUGGGGUGCUCGAGUGGCGAACGGGUGAGUAACACGUGAGUAACCUGCCCUUGACUUUGGGAUAACUUCAGGAAACUGGGGCUAAUACCGGAUAGGAGCUCCUGCUGCAUGGUGGGGGUUGGAAAGUUUCGGCGGUUGGGGAUGGACUCGCGGCUUAUCAGCUUGUUGGUGGGGUAGUGGCUUACCAAGGCUUUGACGGGUAGCCGGCCUGAGAGGGUGACCGGCCACAUUGGGACUAAGAGACGGCGCAGUCGCGUACGGGAGGCAGCGGGCGGGAAUCUUGCACAAUGGGCGGAAGCCUGAUGCGGCGGUGCUGCGUGCGUGAUGACGGCUUUCGGGUGGUAAACCGCUUUGGAAUUUGCCGAGGCGGGCGUGACGGUAAUGGGUAAAGAAGCACCGGCUAACUACGUG
RNAcentral lists this ribosomal RNA (468 nucleotides) under uncultured bacterium. RNAcentral describes it as "partial 16S ribosomal RNA". It matches the Rfam family "Bacterial small subunit ribosomal RNA", at positions 28 to 507 of the family's 1533-position model. The record is from RNAcentral.